UUAAAACAAUUUCAAAACUCCUUUUUUCUCUCCUAUCAUCCCUCUAGGUUUGAUAAUCCAGCAGCUGUAAAUCCAAUUCCCACAAGUGUGCUUUAAAAAAGCUGUCCUGGCUUUGUCUAUCUAUAUAUAUCAUCUUGCAGUGAUCUAUAAGGCAAGAUCAUUCUUAAAAAUGCUUCACAGAAACUGGGACUAGGAAUCUGAAUAUACCUUGUUUAUGUUUAUCUUAAAGGUAAAUAAAAAUACCAAACUGCAAUAAUGUGGGUCAUGUUUUGGAAAAUGAAAAGAAUUUUGAGAGUCUUAAAAUACUUCCUAACAAACAACACAUGUUCAGCCAGAUUUGGAAGACAUGGAAAGUUUGUCACAAAGCAGUUUGUUCCUAGAGAACAAAAAUAUGUGAAUACAGAAAAGAAGAGAACUCUCUGGUUUGAGAGAUUAUAGUGAUGAGAAGCUAUGGGAAGAUUUCCUGUAACACAAAGCAGAAGGAUUUUCUAGUCAAUGCUAAGAUCUUAGACUAAUCUCUUAAACAGAAAAAAGAGCAAUCAUGUGGCUUAAAGGGAAGCAGUUAUUCCUUUAUUAAUCUAAAGUUGUUAGAUUCCAUUACAAGAUAGUCUCAAUCACAUUGUGACCUUUUAAGCUUCUAAGAUUCAUUAGGUCAGAGUGAGAAGGAGUUGGGUCUAUGAGAUUCAAGGAGGUAGAGAGUUAUUCUUUUCUCUUUCUAAUUUUUAUGAAUUCUCUUAUGGAUUCUAUUUUGCAUUCCUCUCAUGGGUUCAAAUAAAGAUCAUUUUACAUUAAUCUGAGUACUUUGUAUAGAAGUCAAGGUUCCUGUUCCCCACAUGAGCUAUAUUCUGCUAUCCACAGAAAAGAGCCAUGGGAGGGGAGACAAUUCUGAUGAUUAUAGGAGAAAUUCUGGGUAAAGAUACAUACCAUUGAGUGAUUUGAUCACUCUAUUUAUGUAAACCCAAAAAUUAGUGUUCUGGGACAUAGGUUACAUUGUUAAAAUAGGUCAUUUUUAACAAUUUUCAGCAUAGUACAUAGCUUAAUUACCUGCUGGGAAAGAAAGUAUAAACAUGGACUACAUUCAUCUCUGACAAUGACAUUGGGAUGGGGAAAGAUCUCUGGUGCUGGGCAAAACAGAGGACAUGUGGGACAUUUUUAUUUUAAAUCAAUUUGUAAAUAGGCUAAUGGAAAUGAGGACUCUGCUCAAGAAAUCUGCAUACCUGUCUCCCCAGUACCUAUGGAAAAAAUAAGUCAUGGAUUUUCUGUGAGCUCAGGGUGGUAUCAGUUGACUAGGUUGGAAAUUCAGAUGAUAUGGAAGAAUAAAGUUUUUCCUUAGGCCAAAAGUUUCAAAUAGACAAGAUCUCUAUUUCUUCUUGUACUCUGGGAACUAGAGGAAGUCAGGUGAAUUAAUCAAAAAAAUAUUGUGACCCCCAAGGGAAAAGUCUUGAGUGGGAGCAAGCAACUUGAAAGAAGUCAAACAGAGAGUUUGAUGCUAUUUGGUAUUAUAACUUGUGUCAAAGCAUUUAAGAAAUGUGAAAGUAUUUCUGUAAAUAACUUGUUUCCUGAGACUUCCUUAUGCUAUAAUAAAAGUAGUUGUUCACUUGAAUAGAAUGUGUAUGUAUCCUGACUGCUGUAGAUACAGGGAAAUGAAAAGAUCAGACUAAAAUCCAGAAGCACAUUCUUUACCUCAUUCAUACCGCAUAUCUAGUCAGGUCCCGUGUUUUACCAAUUUUUAUUUUUCCAACAUCUAUCAUAUUCUUCCUUUUCACUAAUAUUACUAAUAGGAUCUCCUUUCCCUUCCUAGACUCUUACAUUAGCCUUUUAAUUGAUUCCUUUGUUUCUUAUCUUUUUCUACUCCAAUCUGUCCUCCAUAUACUUGCCAAAACGAUUUUUUAAAAUUCCAUUGCUUCAUCAAUUCCAAUGGCUCCCUAGUUCCCCUAGGAUAAAAUAUAACUCUUUCCCCUAUCCUCUGGCAUUUAAAGAGCUUCACCAGCAUUUGCAAAUCUAACUUGCCAAUCUUUAUAUAUAUACGCUACCCUCUUUCAUGACUUCUACAAUCUAAGUCAAUUUGCCCAUCUUGCUGAUCUUCUUCACUCAUGACUCUCUAUUUCUUGUCUUUGACCAGCAGUCCUUCAUCCCCAAAAUGCACUCCU
This is a long non-coding RNA of Sarcophilus harrisii (Tasmanian devil), 2150 nucleotides long. NCBI's taxonomy places the organism in Eukaryota, Metazoa, Chordata, Mammalia, Dasyuromorphia, Dasyuridae. The record is from Ensembl.